UGUAGUUGAAGGAGCUGGGCUGCUACGGGGGUCUGACUACUGCGCGUCCACCGAGGCGAGAAAAGUGUGGAUAAUGUCUGACCAUCAUCUGUAGUGACUGUCCUGUCCUAGCCGAGCAGUGACUCUCGCCUGCCGUGGCCGGAGAGGGGAGCGUGGGCCGCUCCUGCACCUGAGGGUGUCAGCAGCGGUUUGGGAAAGGCAGUGCCCCAGUCAAUGGAGAGGCGUGGACAUGCCACCUGCACCCACCUGAGAAGACAGAUCAGACUCAGGGUGGAGUCCUCCCCGCCUCCUGGACAGCACGUUGAAGAAAGUGACUACUCCGCGACAAACCCAAGGAAUGCUUGAUAUUAAUCUAAAGCAAUGACUGUCACCUGCUGUUUAGAAUAACACUAUCGUGUUGCUUGUUUUCUCCUGUUUCCUCCACUGACUGACCCUCUGAGGGCAAAGCCUAGGCAGUUCACUUAUGAUCGUAUCCCCAGAACCAAAUUCAGUGCCAGGUACAAUGCAGGUGCCAACCACCCCUCACACUCAUCUGAUGUAGAACUGUGAUGUUUCCAUUGCCUAUGUGCCCCCAAGACAGGCAAAGUAGGUAUGACCAUAGCCAGGGGUAGUCCUGCUGGAUGAGUACUCUGUAAAUAUUAAAAUUUCAUGACCGUAGAAUAAAUUCCCAUUGACUCUAAACUUCAGUAUGUGCUGGGCAGGACCCAGAUCCUAAAUUUCUUUAGCUAGAGUCACAGCUAGGUUGAUAAGGUGGAGAAACUUACACCUCUACCUCCGGAAGUAGGCUUAGCUUGCUGGGGAAGAUCUCAGAAAGCAGCAGCCUCACAAAGGGGAGUCCCAAGGCUUGGAGCCGAGAUUCCAGGUGCUGUUGGGAGACGGGGGCAGAGCUGGGCUAAAGCACCCAAGGCUAAAUCUGC
Talpa occidentalis (Iberian mole) is the source of this 917-nucleotide long non-coding RNA. RefSeq lists it as uncharacterized. The transcript has 3 exons. The record is from RefSeq and is a predicted model, not a curated record. NCBI's taxonomy places the organism in Eukaryota, Metazoa, Chordata, Mammalia, Eulipotyphla, Talpidae.